RNAcentral lists this unclassified non-coding RNA (416 nucleotides) under soil metagenome. RNAcentral describes it as "partial contains 5.8S ribosomal RNA, internal transcribed spacer 2, and large subunit ribosomal RNA". The stretch from base 1 to 120 matches the Rfam family "5.8S ribosomal RNA", at positions 35 to 154 of the family's 154-position model. The record is from RNAcentral.
GAUGAAGAACGCAGCGAAAUGCGAUAAGUAAUGUGAAUUGCAGAAUUCAGUGAAUCAUCGAAUCUUUGAACGCACCUUGCACUCCUUGGUAUUCCGAGGAGUACGCCUGUUCGAGUGUUAUGAAGCUCUCAAAACGCAAUUGGCUUAAAACCUGAUUGUUGUUUUGGAUUUGAACUUUGCCGUGUUAUAACGGCUGGUUUUAAAAGUAUUAGCUGGUACUAGAACGAAUUGGUUCUACUCAACGUGAUAAUUAUCUGAUCGUUGAGGACAUUCAUUUCACGAGGAAUGGCCAUAGUAAAUUCAAUGGACUGCUUCUAAUCUGGCUUUAAUUCUUUAUUGGAUUAACCACUUUUCAAAUCUGACCUCGAAUCAGGUGGGACUACCCGCUGAACUUAAGCAUAUCAAUAAGCGGAGGA